RNAcentral lists this ribosomal RNA (497 nucleotides) under uncultured bacterium. RNAcentral's name for it is "partial 16S ribosomal RNA". It matches the Rfam family "Bacterial small subunit ribosomal RNA", at positions 28 to 507 of the family's 1533-position model. The record is from RNAcentral.
GAUGAACGCUGGCGGCGUGCCUAAUACAUGCAAGUCGAGCGAACGGACGAGAAGCUUGCUUCUCUGAUGUUAGCGGCGGACGGGUGAGUAACACGUGGAUAACCUACCUAUAAGACUGGGAUAACUUCGGGAAACCGGAGCUAAUACCGGAUAAUAUUUUGAACCGCAUGGUUCAAAAGUGAAAGACGGUCUUGCUGUCACUUAUAGAUGGAUCCGCGCUGCAUUAGCUAGUUGGUAAGGUAACGGCUUACCAAGGCAACGAUGCAUAGCCGACCUGAGAGGGUGAUCGGCCACACGGGAACUGAGACACGGUCCAGACUCCUACGGGAGGCAGCAGUAGGGAAUCUUCCGCAAUGGGCGAAAGCCUGACGGAGCAACGCCGCGUGAGUGAUGAAGGUCUUCGGAUCGUAAAACUCUGUUAUUAGGGAAGAACAUACGUGUAAGUAACUGUGCACAUCUUGACGGUACCUAAUCAGAAAGCCACGGCUAACUACGUG